RNAcentral lists this ribosomal RNA (460 nucleotides) under uncultured bacterium. RNAcentral's name for it is "partial 16S ribosomal RNA". It matches the Rfam family "Bacterial small subunit ribosomal RNA", at positions 338 to 795 of the family's 1533-position model. The record is from RNAcentral.
CCUACGGGAGGCAGCAGUGAGGAAUAUUGGUCAAUGGACGAGAGUCUGAACCAGCCAAGUAGCGUGAAGGAUGACUGCCCUAUGGGUUGUAAACUUUUUUUAUAUGGGAAUAAAAUGUUCCACGUGUGGGAUUUUGUAUGUACCAUAUGAAUAAGGAUCGGCUAACUCCGUGCCAGCAGCCGCGGUAAUACGGAGGAUCCGAGCGUUAUCCGGAUUUAUUGGGUUUAAAGGGAGCGUAGGUGGAUUGUUAAGUCAGUUGUGAAAGUUUGCGGCUCAACCGUAAAAUUGCAGUUGAAACUGGCAGUCUUGAGUACAGUAGAGGUGGGCGGAAUUCGUGGUGUAGCGGUGAAAUGCUUAGAUAUCACGAAGAACACCGAUUGCGAAGGCAGUUCACUGGACUGCAACUGACACUGAGGCUCGAAAGUGUGGGUAUCAAACAGGAUUAGAUACCCGAGUAGUC